AUGGAAGGGCAGAGCUUUUUUUUGGUUUUUUCAUCUUUUCAUCAAAGAGUUGAACAAUGAAGAUAGAUGGCAAGGGAUUGGGAUUCCAUUGCUGUCAUUUUAUAUGUAUAUGGUUACAAUUAUUUACGCUCCCAAUGUGCUUAUGAUGUAGCACCCGGUGGAUCUUUAGCUAGCGUGUAUCAUCUUACGAGAAUACAAUAUGGUAUAGAUAAUCCAGAAGUAAGUCGUUUUCGUUGGUGGGAAAGACACACCUCUCAAAAUGUUUUUAUCUCUAAGUUUUUCGCUUUGAGCUCUGGCACCUCUACAAAUCCCUACUUCCCUCUGCGAAGGGCCUUUCUUUUACUUUAUGCAAUUUUUAUUUUGAAUUUGAGUCUCCAUCUUCUCUUAUAA
This 390-nucleotide ribosomal RNA is filed under the name Triticum aestivum (bread wheat). RNAcentral's name for it is "partial small subunit ribosomal RNA". Lineage: Eukaryota; Viridiplantae; Streptophyta; Magnoliopsida; Poales; Poaceae. The record is from RNAcentral.